RNAcentral lists this unclassified non-coding RNA (197 nucleotides) under rhizosphere metagenome. RNAcentral's name for it is "partial ribosomal RNA internal transcribed spacer region". The record is from RNAcentral.
GUAGGUGAACCUGCGGAAGGACCAUUACUAAAUUGUGAAUUUAAUUCUGUUGAACCGUGGGGGGAAGGUUGGUGGAUGGAGACAUCUCAUGGAGACAUCUCCACACACCGCUACCCUCAUCAUAUAACACUGUUGCAUCAUGGACCAUGUUGAGAUAUUAAUGUAAACAACUUUUAACAAUGGAUCUCUUGGCUCUU